RNAcentral lists this ribosomal RNA (986 nucleotides) under Zopfochytrium polystomum. RNAcentral's name for it is "partial large subunit ribosomal RNA". It matches the Rfam family "Eukaryotic large subunit ribosomal RNA", at positions 107 to 858 of the family's 3401-position model. The record is from RNAcentral. Lineage: Eukaryota; Fungi; Chytridiomycota; Chytridiomycetes; Chytridiales; Chytridiaceae.
GCUCAACUUUGGAAUCUCGCCGGCCUAGCCCGCCGGCGCUAAUUGUAUUUUCAAGGCACGCUUCUUUCGGGGGUGGCGUUGGGCCCAAGUCCGUUGGAACACGGCACCGUAGAGGGUGAGAGUCCCGUACGGCCCGCCGCGCCGCUCCUGUGCCAUCGCUUUUUGCCAAAGAGUCAGAUAGCUUGGGAACUCUGUCCAAAGUGGGUGGUAAACACCAUCUAAAGCUAAAUACAGGAAAGAGACCGAUAGCGCACAAGUACCGUGAGGGAAAGAUGAAAAGCUCUUUGAAAAGAGAGUGAAACAGUACGUGAAAUUGCCAAUAGGGAAGCGUUCGGCACCGGUGUAUCGUCCUACCGCGGGAUCAGCCCGUCCUAUCUCCCCGAUAAAAAGGGGGAAAAAGGCGGGUGCACUCUCGUUUGACUGGGCGGGGUCAGCGUCGGUUCGGGGGGUUCCGGGAUAAAAGCCGCUGGGCCAAAGGUGUCUCGCGCGCUGUGCGCUCUCUCUCGGGGGGGCGCGCCGCGCGCGGGUGGUUAGAGGGGCCUGCUGGUGUAAUGUCUCCCGCCCCGGACCGAGGAUCGCAGCCGUAGCUACUGCUCGCCGUGGGGUGCGUCCGUUUGCGGGGAUUUGUUAGUGGACCGUUUGACCGCCUGGCGGACAGCGGACCCGGUCCCCGUGUCGCCCGCCCCGCGCGCGUUGUCAUCUCACGGUCUUGGGAUGCUGGCGAACCGGUAUCGAGCGACCCGUCUUGAAACACGGACCAAGGAGUGCAACAGGCGCGCGAGUGUUUGGGCGUCAAAAACCCUGUACGCGUAGUGAAAGCGAGAGCUUUUCGCUCUGGUGCGAAGCGCCGUCCACCUCAAAAAUGGGCGGCUGCCGCUGCAUCGGCCGGUCUCGGAGGGACACCCGUUCCGCCGUUUCUGAGCAAGAGCGCGCCUGUUGCGACCCGAAAGAUGGUGAACUAUGCCUGAGUAGGGCGAAGCCAGAGG